AGAAAAUUAGGUUGUUAUUAUUAUUUUUCUUCCCCGCCUUACCCUGUUUUUUUUUUUUUAACGGGUGUUUCAAUUUUUCGUGAACGUGUCCUGUAUUGGGGGAUAGCCCGGCAAACCGCGGGGUAAGACCGCAAUCAAUCUACUACGGAAAGGGGGAAAUCUUAAAACCUCCCGCUACUGAGAGGGCCGAUGGCACCUAAACUGUGUUUUGGGAAUCAGGCCUAGGGCGACGACAAUAGGUAACUUGUCUGAGAGGACGGCCCCCCACACUGGGAUGAGACACGGCCCACACUCCCCGGAGGCCACGGGGGAAUUUUGGACAAUGGGGCAACCCUGAUCCAGCAUGCCCCGGUGUGCAAAAGCCUUUGGUUCUAAGCAUUUUGUCCGAAGAAAAGGCCAUGUUAUACCCGUGGUAGAAGACGGUACGGAAGAAUAGCACCGGCCACUACUGCCAGCAGCCGCGGUAUAGUAUGUCCAGCGUAAUCGAAAUACAGGCGUAAGCGUCGCAGCUGUCCGCUAGAACUAUGGGAAAUACCCGGGCUUAACUGGGAAUGCAUUGUGACUAGCGGGCUAGAGUAGGCAGAGGCGGUAGAAUUCCACGUGUAGCAUGAAUCGCGUAGAGAUGGGAGGAAUACCGAUGGCGAAGGCUGCCCCCUGGGCCAAUACUGACGCUCAUGCACAAGAGCGUGGGGAGCAAACAGGAUUAGAUACCCUGGUAGUCCACGCCCUAAACGUGUCAACUAGUUGUCGGGUCUUCAUUGACUUGGUAACGAGCUAACGCCUGAAGUUGACGCCUGGGGAUACGGUCGCAAGAUUAAACUCAAAGGAUUGACGGGACCCGCACAGCGGUGGAUGAUGUGGAUUAAUUGAUGCACGCGAAAAACCUUACCUACCACGACUGUAUGGAAUCUGCUGAGAGGGGGAGUGCCCGAAAGGGAGCCAUAACACAGGUGCUCAGGCUUCGUCAGCUCGUGUCGUGAGAGUUGGGUUAAGUCCCGCAACGACGCAACCCUGUCCCUAGUGCUACGCAGAGCAUCUAGGGAGACGCCCAGACAAACCGAGGAAGGUGGGAUAACUCAAGUCCCAGGCCCUUAUGGGUAGGCUCCACGUCUACAAUGGUCGGACAGAGGGUCGCCAACCCCGAGGGGGACCAUCCCAGAAAACCAUUAGUUCGGAUCCACUCAACUCAGUGCUGAACUGAUCCUAUAAUCCGAAGCAUGCCGCGGUGAAACUUCCGGCGGUCUCCCCCACACCGCGAUGGUUACCAUGGGAGUCCCGGUCUCCCAGAAGGGUGUAGUAACCCUCAUGGAACAAACCAACCGACCCAACCACC
RNAcentral lists this ribosomal RNA (1333 nucleotides) under Paraburkholderia fungorum. RNAcentral's name for it is "bacterial SSU rRNA". It matches the Rfam family "Bacterial small subunit ribosomal RNA". Lineage: Bacteria; Pseudomonadati; Pseudomonadota; Betaproteobacteria; Burkholderiales; Burkholderiaceae. The record is from RNAcentral.